GGGGAGUAGCUCAGAGGGUAGAGCUCUCGCUUAGCAUGUUAGAGGCACGGGGAUUGAUACCCUGUAUCUUCA
This 72-nucleotide transfer RNA is filed under the name Zingiber officinale. RNAcentral's name for it is "tRNA-Ala". Lineage: Eukaryota; Viridiplantae; Streptophyta; Magnoliopsida; Zingiberales; Zingiberaceae. The record is from RNAcentral.